Apis mellifera (honey bee) is the source of this 5977-nucleotide long non-coding RNA. RefSeq lists it as uncharacterized. The record is from RefSeq and is a predicted model, not a curated record. Lineage: Eukaryota; Metazoa; Arthropoda; Insecta; Hymenoptera; Apidae. The transcript is spliced from 2 exons.
UUCCCUCAAAAGGAAUAUACGUAUACGCGGUGUAUAUAUACGUUAUCCCCACCGCUGUCGUUUGAGUUAGAAGCGCGUCACGUGACCGUGCGACGUAGCAACACCUAGCGUGAACAACGAGCGACGAAAAUUUUUCCGGCGACGGAAAGGAAAUGAUCGAUCGAGCAUUUAACCUUCGAGCGUGAACAUUCGAGAGAGAAGCUCUCGCGUUUAAUUAAUCUUAAUGGGUUGAUUAAAAUUCCUCCGUUUCCCAAGUGGAAUUAAAAAAAAUCUCGGAGAGAUUUAGCAACAGCGUCUUAACGAGGACGGUUUCAACGAUGUUUUUCAACGAUGAUUAUCGUUUUUAAUUAAUAACUUUACCACUUACUUACCCACUUUAAUUAUAAUUGCGUUGCUACAAGGUUGUUGUCGAUCGUAUCGGAUUGAUCAAUUCCUUACGCGGAACGUCGCGAGUUGCUUGAAUAUUUCACGAGACGGAACGAAAUCUAAAGAAAGAGGAAAAAAAAGAAGGAAAUCCUCUUAAACGGCAACGCAGACGUGAGCCGGUGUACGAAUCGUCAAUCAGCCACGAUAAAAUCACCGUGUAGCCAGAGAUAAUCGCGAAAAUGAUUUCACGGGACGGUUUCCAUAAGCGACAAAGUGGAUAGCCGAUUAUUAUUAUCGAUGCUCCCGAUCCCCGUGCAGAUUUCUAAUUUAUCGAUCCACGCCGCGCCAGCCCGGCUAAUUAAUGUCCACCAACGGCUAUUCUCGAAUCCUCCUCCCCCUCCCUCCUCCUCGAGCACGAGCUUCGAGUGAGACUAGUUAGCGGUAAAUGCAGGUCCAUUAUAAGGGCAAUUAAUGAGGGGCCGUGCGGCAUUAAUUGCAAUCGCGAAAUCCCAAUGGAGAGCCCUUCGAGGAUUGUUCGUGCUCGCGUUACGCGUCACGGUAGAACGUUUAAAAGGGAGUCGCGCGCACGGACGGAUGGUCGGAGACAUUUUUGACCAGCCGAGGGCGCUGCUUGUCCAUAUUUGCGUCCCGUUAACGCGACUAGGAGGCGUUGUAGUCACGUUUCGAGCAACUUCGUAUUAAAUAAGUCGUUACUUCUGACGAGUAAAAAUUGAGUGGUGAAAAAUUUCAAGCUAAAAUAGCGGUUGUGGAAUGUUUGUGUACAUUUUCGCGCAAUACCGGGUAGUAGAAGUAACUGGUUCGUGAAAGCUAACAGUUCAUAAAGUUGCGGACAGAAAAUGUUUAAAUAUCUCGACGGGAGAAAUGUUAAAUUAUCGUUCGAGCACGCGAGAGGUCGGAAACGAAGUAGAAAUACCUUCGUUUCAACCAGAUCCUAAAGAUAUUGAGGAAAUAAGCGAAUUAAUUUCCAACCUGAAAUACCGAUACCGAUUGACAUUUAUCUCUUUACCGGAUAAUAAGCGGUCGUUCGAGGGAAUAAGAGGAGAGAGAGAGAGGGAACAUGUUGGAGUGGAGAACGGUCGGAAAAUCAGGCGGCCCCCUCCGGGUGAAUCGGCGGCACAGCCAGUUCACAAUUAUGUUUAUCGACGCUUAGUAUCGGCGCCAUUACAUCGAGCUGGCAAGGACGACGCGAGCAAACAGAUUUUUAUCCUUCGAGUUUCAAUCUUUCGAAUGUUGAGGGAAGAGAAGUUCGAAAAAAAUUGUUAUUAAUAUACGGUUGAUUAAUUAAUAUGGAGGAUUUUAGGAAUAUUUUGAUCAAUUUUUCCUUGUCGAAAAAUUGAAAAAUUUUGAAAUUGAUGGAAAAAUAUUUGUGCGUUGAGAAUUCUGACAAUGGAAAGAUCCUUGUGUUAUUUCUUUCGAAAGGUUUUAAUCGAAUAGUGCAAUCGAUUAUUUUUCUUUAAUUUUAUCAUUGACAUGUAUAAUUGGCGUGAGAAUUAUUAAUUUAUUUAUUCAUUCACUUUAAAAGUAUCUUUUACACAAUUUGGAAGUUCGAAAAAAAUUGUUAUUAAUAUACGGUUGAUUAAUUAAUAUGGAGGAUUUUGGGAAUAUUUUGAUCAAUUUUUCCUUGUCGAAAGAUUGAAAAAUUUUGAAAUUGAUGGAAAAAUAUUUGUGCGUUGAGAAUUAACUGAGAAUUAAUUGGUCUGAUGUAAUAAUCGAUCCCAACUUUGACUUAAUGGAAAAAUCCUUGUGUAAUUUCUUUCGAAAAAUUUUAAUUGAAUAUUACAAUCAAUUCGAUUAUUUUAUUAUUUUUAUAAUUUUAUCAUUGACACGUAUAGUUGGCGUGAGAAUUAUUAAUUUAUUUAUUCAUUCACUUUGAAAGUAUCUUUUAGAUAUAAAUUGGAGACAACUUGGAAAAUGAUAUUGUUUACUUGAUUUAAUUGAAAAGACAAAAGAUAUGGUAAAUUGGUAAGAGAAAUGUAAUAAAAAAGAUAUUCAAUAUAAUUAUCCUGUCAAUGAGUAAUAUUAUAGCGAGAUCGAUUUUAAAUGUCUCUCUUCUUCACGAAAUCUCUGAGGGUAUUUGAAGAAUGAACGGUUGCUGAAAAACGGCAGGUCGAUGAGGACGACAUUGGGGAGGGGGAACAGCCACGGGGCGGGAUUCUUUUACGUAUCUCGAAAUACCUAAAAGCGACGCCUGUUUAAAUCACGAGAUACGGAAACCUGUGAUCAACUCUUCAACCUAUCUGAUUGUAGAAUGGUUGUUGCGUGAUGCGCGCGUAGGGAAAAAUAAUGAUAGGAAUAUGUGGGUAUAUCUUGCUCGAUUCCGUUGAAGAAAGCCGUUUGGAAAAAGAAAAAAAGAAUCUAAUACACGCGGUAUAUAAUUUUUCAACGAAGGGAAAUAAUAUUAACGCCGUGAUAAAAUUGAAAUACGACGCGUUUAAUUAACGUCGACGUCGAAUUGAAUUCGUGAAAAUAAUUGUCGAAAAAUAAGAAUUUAUCGGGGGAAACGCUAAUAGAAUUCGAAAGCUAACAAAUAGAACGAUUUUGACAGUAAUUACAAGUAUCCGUUUUCAUAAAGAGAGAGAGAAAGAGAUAAAGCAAUAUUUUAAUAAUUCGUUUCACGCUCAACUUUUUAAAUAAUAUCCAUAAUUCAGCCAAACGUGUCCUGGUUCGCGAAACACUUGCCCUACUAUUACCGAUCUACACCCUUUUCCCAUCUAACCCAAACACGAACGUCGUAUCCGUUCGAGCUAAAACCCGACGAACCGUAUCCCGGCGGAAUAAUCUCAAUAAUCGUUUCGACAAUUUCAAUCCGUUCCGUUCGUCGAAUAAUUAAAAACCUGUUCUCCUCGCGUGAAAAAGGAAACCUUCCUCCGAAGAAAUAUCCACCAAGUCCCGAUUAAAAGCGUUUAGCCCGCCACGCGAUCCAAUAUUUAUCAACGGGACGGGACGAAAGUGGCGGCCACUGUUAUACGUCCGAAUGGAAAAUGGCAAGGUGGCUGUAAAACCGCGGCGACCAAACCGUUGGAAUGUGGAUACCAUCUGUUCCUUCCGUCCGCCCCUUCCGAGCCUCUUUAUCGGGCGCGCGUAUUACCGACCGCGCAACCAAUCUUUCUGUCGGCCGACCGCUGACACGCGAGCUUUGAGGUUAGAAUUCGAAUCGCCCGUGUCCGCGCAUGCGCGCGGAUUCCAACGAAAUUCGCCCGUGUCCGCGCAUGCGCGCGGAUUCCAACGAAAUUCGCCCUUAUCCGCGCAUCGAUCGAUCGACGCCUCUUUCUCGCCAAGCGUCAACGUUGCUUGCUUACUUCAGGUAGCGAGGAAUUUUAAUUGGAGCGGGGAGAGGGAUUGAUCGAUCGCGGUACGUAACGACGCCGUCUCGUUUUUAUUUAACUCGUGUCGAGUCGAGAAUAUGAAAUUUCGAUUCGUCUCGCAAUUUUCGGAUUAAUUUUUCUUUCUUUUUACUGCAAAGAGGUUACGAAAAAAUAAACGCGAAACUUAUCUCUCGAACGCAAAGAGGCUCGCGAAAGUGGAAGUUCUUCUGGUGGUUGAAUUUAUUAGAUUCAAAUUGUGUCGCGCGAAAGGAAUUCUCGGGUUAUUCUCUUAAGCGCGUAUUACUGAUCCGUUAAUGAAUAAUAUUUAAUAUAUUCAGAGUGAAAACAGUCGCGACCACAUUCCUCUGUGAUCGAUCUGAUAUGGCUUUUAUGCUCUACUGAAUCCCGGAUUACGCGGAUGACCUCUUUCGAUUGUAAAGGCUAGAAAACCAACGAUAAAACACACGCUCGCAAUGUAAUCGUUGAUUCAUGGCUUUCUCUCGACUCGGAUUUAAAUAAAAAAAAAAAGAAAAUAAACGAUCAUUUUAUUAAGUGUAAUAAUUUAUCGUGGAACUGUGUAUAAAUAUUUUUUUAAUGGAAGAAACGAAAAUUAAGGAAAGGAAAAAAUAGUCAAAGAAUCGUCACGAUGUCAAAAAAUCGUUAGAGAAACGAGACCAAGUAAACUGGUCCAAUUUGUUAAAAUUUAAUACAAUAUAUACGCAGAAGAAAAAUAAUAUAACUCGUUAAUCACGUUUGCAAACGUUAUUAGAAACUCGUGAUAGACAUACCUAUAUAUAUAUAUAUAUAUAUUUGCAACGUAUAAUUAUCCCAUUGUUGCGCAAACAGGAAUCGAUCAAAUGCGUCAUAUAUGUAUAAACUUCCAUCGAUCAUUAUCUUAGUCACGAGGCGGUUCUUCAUCGGACAACAAAAACCUGUAUCGAGCAAUUUUAUCGCAAGUGAGUGAGAAUAUGACAAUUUUACGAGUAGAGUCCAUUGCAGAUUGGCGGCAAUUUGUACGCCGUUAGAAAUCGUGAUCGAUCGAUUUAAUAAUACCGCCAUCACUCCGUGUAUACACUUUGAAAUUCAUGAAUUAAUGAACCACGAUCCCGUGUACAUCUUGAUUAUUCAUCGAAUGUUCGAACUUAAUAAAUAGGGCUGCCUUCCAAGUCAGAGAACACGAUUUUAAUUUCGUUCGAACCGAGUCGAGAUCGAAUCUCGGACGGGUAAAUUGAUUCGACGAUAAACGAAGAGGAAAAGGUCGAUCGAUUCGAGAUUCGUAAUUCGUCGUCCAUUUUCACGGAUAUAAAUUUUCAGAGAAGAGAAAAAAAGUUUAUUUGAAAAGAGAGAGAGAAAACGAGCCGCGGAAUCGGCUCCGAUUCUCACCGAAUCAGAAAAGUGAAAGACGCGUAGCGAUCGCCACGCCUUUUCCAAUCGCGCGAUCGACAUCCAAUCGCGUGUCAACAUCGACUUAAUCCAAUCGUAAUCGAUGUUGCUCCCUUUCUCGAACACAUCCAUUCUUUCCUCUUUUCUCUCUCUCUUUCUCUUUCUCCUCCCUCUUCCGCUAAUAAUUCUUCGCGACGAUGAAUCGAUCAACAAUCAUCCGAUAGUUUUCAUCCGUGGCCGGGAUGAGGAUUUCGAGGCGAGCCAGCAGAGCAUGAACGACGCGACAUUUGCCGAUUGCCGUGUGGAAUGUGGUCGGCAACAUUUUUCACCAACCUCCUACUGUCAGUUAAAUAUUACGUAUCGUUGCGGAGAAAUCUCCAUCGGAUAUUACGUCGAGGGCGUCACUAUCAUUCGUGAAAGAAAUUCCGUCUUACCGUCGUUCGAGUAAGAAAAGGUUAGGAAAGAAAGAAGAAGGAAGAAGAAGAAAGGGAACGAAUUUUUUGUAAUGGUACGCGCAACAAGUGUAAUACGAGUAAAAAAUCGAUACGAGUCCGCUCGAGUGCUCCCUCUAUCUCACUUUCCCCCUCCACCUCCAAUCGAAUCCAUUUCCUGCGCGUUACGUUUAUCUCGGAUCAGUUUCAUCGUUCAGAGACAGAACAAAUCCACUUUGGUUUAAUAAUCACGACGAUUAUUUAACGGAAGCAAAAGCGCGAAGGUAUUAUACUUAUUGUAAGGAACGAAGGAACGAACGAAGGAACGAGCGUUCAAAUCAUGUCGAUUAUUAUUUAUGCGUCCUUCGGCAUGAUUUACGACCGGUUGCUAUUUUCUAUGCUUAGCGCCGUGUAAAGUUCCCAACCGAGAAUUCUUCCAGUUGAUAAUUCUACCUUGUUGCCUUCGAUUAC